UUAACUCAAAUUCGUAUGCAGUUGAAACAGCGUCCCUAGCGGCAAACGUAGGCAAACGUUUCAACUCCAUACAAACGUUAGUUA
This 84-nucleotide microRNA precursor is filed under the name Bombyx mori (domestic silkworm). RNAcentral's name for it is "mir-2807 microRNA precursor family". It matches the Rfam family "mir-2807 microRNA precursor family". Lineage: Eukaryota; Metazoa; Arthropoda; Insecta; Lepidoptera; Bombycidae. The record is from Rfam by way of RNAcentral.